This 568-nucleotide ribosomal RNA is filed under the name uncultured bacterium. RNAcentral's name for it is "partial 16S ribosomal RNA". It matches the Rfam family "Bacterial small subunit ribosomal RNA", at positions 355 to 914 of the family's 1533-position model. The record is from RNAcentral.
UGGGGAAUCUUCCGCAAUGGACGAAAGUCUGACGGAGCAACGCCGCGUGAGUGAAGAAGGUUUUCGGAUCGUAAAACUCUGUCUUUUGGGGCGAACGUGAGUAUGGUGAACAAUCAUAGUCAGUGACGGUACCAAAGGAGGAAGCCACGGCUAACUACGUGCCAGCAGCCGCGGUAAUACGUAGGUGGCAAGCGUUGUCCGGAAUUAUUGGGCGUAAAGAGCGCGUAGGCGGGAUAGUCAGUCUGUUGUAAAGUGCGGGGCUCAACCCCGUGAUGGCAAUGGAAACAGCUAUUCUUGAGUGCAGGAGAGGAAAGUGGAAUUCCCAGUGUAGCGGUGAAAUGCGUAGAUAUUGGGAGGAACACCAGUGGCGAAGGCGACUUUCUGGACUGUGUCUGACGCUGAGGCGCGAAAGCCAGGGGAGCGAACGGGAUUAGAUACCCCGGUAGUCCUGGCCGUAAACGAUGGGUACUAGGUGUGGGAGGUAUCGACCCCUUCCGUGCCGGAGUUAACGCAAUAAGUACCCCGCCUGGGGAGUACGGUCGCAAGACUGAAACUCAAAGGAAUUGAC